This 351-nucleotide ribosomal RNA is filed under the name uncultured Klebsiella sp. Its description in RNAcentral is "bacterial SSU rRNA". It matches the Rfam family "Bacterial small subunit ribosomal RNA", at positions 96 to 452 of the family's 1533-position model. The record is from RNAcentral. Lineage: Bacteria; Pseudomonadati; Pseudomonadota; Gammaproteobacteria; Enterobacterales; Enterobacteriaceae.
CGGCGGACGGGUGAAUAAUGUCUGGGAAACUGCCUGAUGGAAGGGGAUAACUACUGGAAACGGUAGCUAGUACCGCAUAACGUCCCAAGACCAAAGUGGGGGACCUUCCGGCCUCAUGCCAUCAGAUGUGCCCAGAUGGGAUUAGCUAGUAGGUGGGGUAACGGCUCACCUAAGCGACGAUCCCUAGCUGGUCUGAGAGGAUGACCAGCCACACUGGAACUGAGACACGGUCCAGACUCCUACGGGAGGCAGCAGUGGGGAAUAUUGCACAAUGGGCGCAAGCCUGAUGCACCAUGCCGCGUGUAUGAAGAAGCCUUCGGGUUGUAAAGUACUUUCAGCGGGGAGGAAGGC